GGACUACAGGGGUAUCUAAUCCUGUUUGCUCCCCUAGCUUUCGUCCCUCAGCGUCAGUUGUGAUCCAGCGAGCCGCUUUCGCCUCGGAUGUUCCUACGGAUAUCUACGCAUUUCACCGCUACACCCGUAAUUCCACUCGCCUCUCUCACACUCUAGCACAACAGUUUCGGCAGCAGCCUCCGAGUUAAGCCCGGAGAUUUCACUACCGACUUGUCACACCGCCUACGGACCCUUUACGCCCAGUAAUUCCGAGCAACGCUGGCCCCCUACGUUUUACCGCGGCUGCUGGCAC
This 292-nucleotide ribosomal RNA is filed under the name uncultured Acidobacteriota bacterium. RNAcentral describes it as "uncultured Acidobacteria bacterium partial 16S ribosomal RNA". The record is from RNAcentral. Lineage: Bacteria; Pseudomonadati; Acidobacteriota.